RNAcentral lists this ribosomal RNA (426 nucleotides) under uncultured bacterium. Its description in RNAcentral is "bacterial SSU rRNA". It matches the Rfam family "Bacterial small subunit ribosomal RNA", at positions 355 to 774 of the family's 1533-position model. The record is from RNAcentral.
UGGGGAAUUUUGGACAAUGGGCGCAAGCCUGAUCCAGCAAUGCCGCGUGCAGGAUGAAGGCCUUCGGGUUGUAAACUGCUUUUGUACGGAGCGAAAAGGUCUGCCCUAAUACGGUGGGCUCAUGACGGUACCGUAAGAAUAAGCACCGGCUAACUACGUGCCAGCAGCCGCGGUAAUACGUAGGGUGCGAGCGUUAAUCGGAAUUACUGGGCGUAAAGCGUGCGCAGGCGGUUAUAUAAGACAGAUGUGAAAUCACCGGGCUCAACCUGGGACCUGCAUUUGUGACUGCAUAGCUAGGGUGAGACAGAGGGGGAUGGAAUUCCGAGUAUAGCAGUGAAAUGCGUAGAUAUGCGGGGGAACACAGAUGGCGAAGGCAAUCCCCUGGCCUGAACUAACGCUCAUGCACAAAAGCGUGGGGAGCAAACA